GGCUGGUCCGAGGGCAGUGGGGUUUACAACUGAUUGAUCACAGCCAGUUACAGAGUUCUCUGUUCCUUCUCCACUCCUGCUGCUUCACUUGACUAGCCUCAA
This 102-nucleotide Y RNA is filed under the name Callithrix jacchus (white-tufted-ear marmoset). RNAcentral describes it as "Y RNA (ENSCJAG00000081083.1)". It matches the Rfam family "Y RNA". Rfam says of the family: Y RNAs are components of the Ro ribonucleoprotein particle (Ro RNP), in association with Ro60 and La proteins. The Y RNAs and Ro60 and La proteins are well conserved, but the function of the Ro RNP is not known. The record is from Rfam by way of RNAcentral. Lineage: Eukaryota; Metazoa; Chordata; Mammalia; Primates; Cebidae.